UCUAAAAACUCAUACGGACUUCGGCUAAGCCAUCCAAGUUCUGAGAAGCAAUAAGAAGCUUGGUUAAUGUUUUGGAGUCAAAUAUGACUAGAUGUCAUGUGUAUGAUUGAGUAUAAGAACUAGAACCGCAACCGUUUCCCAAAAGCUAAAGUAGUGUUUCCUUGUUAGAAGAUACAAAGCCAGAGAA
This 187-nucleotide small RNA is filed under the name Arabidopsis thaliana (thale cress). Its description in RNAcentral is "ATSL197850". The record is from RNAcentral. Lineage: Eukaryota; Viridiplantae; Streptophyta; Magnoliopsida; Brassicales; Brassicaceae.